GAAGAUUGAAUUGAAUGAGUCUUUAAACUAGUUUAUUUAAAAAAUACAAAAAAAAAAAAAUAAAAUCCAAUGCAAUUGCUAUAAAUACACAUGAGCUUUAGCGUGCAAACUGCAAACCGCUGAAACCAGGUUGAGCAUGUUAAACCCUAAUUUUAUAAAUAUUGAAAUCGCCGCCACCUAAGCACACUCAGAAAGCUGACCACUAGCUUAGGCUUCUCCAAAUUGUCGUACAGUACAGCACACUCCAGCCUGUGUUCAGUUAAAGGUGCAAAAGUACAACCCACUUCCGUUUGAGUGCUCUCUGUUUUCUUGGUUCUGUGCAAAAAAGUACAAUCCACUUCCGUGUUAGAGUAUCUGUCUGUGCCAGUUUCCAUCUCUGGUAUGUUUCUCUCACCACAAUCUAUUGUAUUAAAUUUUUUUUUUCUUCUUAAGGGACAAUCUAUGUUCUUCUAAUUACGAUCCACCUUAUCAACUUCGAACAAUGUUUUUUCGCAAUGUGCAAGACCUAAAUUUAACACCUAUCCACUACCUCAAUAGAGUAAAUCUAUCUGGGUUCUUAGGUAACCUUUUUUUUCCUUUGCUUCAAAAUAGGAGUCUGAAUUUGUGCU
Molecule: long non-coding RNA, 608 nt
Filed under: Trifolium pratense (red clover)
Lineage: Eukaryota; Viridiplantae; Streptophyta; Magnoliopsida; Fabales; Fabaceae
Description: long non-coding RNA (TPRA_LNC006229)
Source: RNAcentral